AACGAACGCUGGCGGCAGGCUUAACACAUGCAAGUCGAACGGGUGUAGCAAUACAUCAGUGGCAGACGGGUGAGUAACACGUGGGAACCUUCCUAGGGGUACGGAACAACUCAGGGAAACUUGAGCUAAUACCGUAUACGUCCGUAAGGAGAAAGAUUCAUCGCCCCUAGACGGGCCCGCGUCGGAUUAGGUAGUUGGUGGGGUAACGGCCUACCAAGCCUACGAUCCGUAGCUGAUCUGAGAGGANGAUCAGCCACACUGGGACUGAGACACGGCCCAGACUCCUACGGGAGGCAGCAGUGGGGAAUCUUGGACAAUGGGCGCAAGCCUGAUCCAGCCAUGCCGCGUGAGUGAUGACGGCCU
Molecule: ribosomal RNA, 363 nt
Filed under: uncultured bacterium
Lineage: Bacteria
Description: bacterial SSU rRNA
Rfam family: Bacterial small subunit ribosomal RNA
Source: RNAcentral